Molecule: ribosomal RNA, 490 nt
Filed under: uncultured bacterium
Lineage: Bacteria
Description: bacterial SSU rRNA
Rfam family: Bacterial small subunit ribosomal RNA
Source: RNAcentral
GAUGAACGCUAGCGGCAGGCUUAAUACAUGCAAGUCGAGGGGCAGCAUGACUGUAGCAAUACAGUUGAUGGCGACCGGCAAACGGGUGCGGAACACGUACAGAACCUUCCUUCGAGCGGGGAAUAGCCCAGAGAAAUUUGGAUUAAUACCCCAUAGCAUAUUGAAGUGGCAUCACUUCAAUAUUAAAGAUUUAUCACUUGAAGAUGGCUGUGCGGCUGAUUAGGUAGUUGGCGGGGUAACGGCCCACCAAGCCUGCGAUCAGUAACUGGUGUGAGAGCACGACCAGUCACACGGGCACUGAGACACGGGCCCGACUCCUACGGGAGGCAGCAGUAAGGAAUAUUGGUCAAUGGACGAAAGUCUGAACCAGCCAUGCCGCGUGGAGGAUGAAGGCCCUCUGGGUUGUAAACUUCUUUUAUAUGGGACGAAAAAGGGUCUUUCUAGAUCAACUGACGGUACCAUGUGAAUAAGCACCGGCUAACUCCGUGCC